RNAcentral lists this ribosomal RNA (253 nucleotides) under uncultured bacterium. RNAcentral's name for it is "partial 16S ribosomal RNA". It matches the Rfam family "Bacterial small subunit ribosomal RNA", at positions 524 to 776 of the family's 1533-position model. The record is from RNAcentral.
UACGGGGGAUGCAAGCGUUGUCCGGAUUUAUUGGGUUUAAAGGGUGCGUAGGCGGUUUGAUAAGUCAGUGGUUAAAUUAAGCAGCUCAACUGUUUGCAUGCCAUUGAUACUGUCAGACUUGAGACUUGAGGGGGUAAGCGGAAUUGGUAGUGUAGCGGUGAAAUGCAUAGAUACUACCAGGAAUAUCGAUAGCGAAGGCAGCUUACUACACAAGGACUGACGCUGAGGCACGAAAGCGUGGGGAUCAAACAGG